Molecule: non-coding RNA, 1950 nt
Organism: Cicer arietinum (chickpea)
Lineage: Eukaryota; Viridiplantae; Streptophyta; Magnoliopsida; Fabales; Fabaceae
Source: RefSeq, a predicted model, not a curated record
UAUUUUCCCUCACACUCUCUCUUUUACCCUAACGACGGCCCCUUCGAACCCGCACCCCGCCAUCGCCCAUUCCGCUCUUCUUUCUCUGUCUCUUUUUCUCUCAAUUAUCAGAAAACCCUUUCUUUUCCCCUCAUUCACUCCCGACAAUCGUUGUUGACAACUGUGACAAAUCAUGGAGAAGCCUGAAAACCAUUUCAAUAAUGACAAUAACAGGGAAAGAGAAGCAUCUCAUCUUGCUGCAUUGUUGAAAGAAAUGAAAGAAGGACUGGAUACUGUUAGGCUUAAAAUUCAAACUUUAACUGCCAAGGUGAAAAGUCAAAAUUCUACAGCCGAUGGGUUCAGCUAUCUUGAAGCUAAAAAUUUGCUGCUUUUGAAUUAUUGUCAAUCCCUUGUUUAUUAUUUGUUGCGAAAGGCUAAGGGAUAUUCGAUAGAAGACCAUCCUGUUGUUCGAAGUAUUGUAGAGAUAAGAUUAUUUUUAGAGAAGAUUCGACCGAUCGACAAAAAACAACAAUACCAAAUCCAAAAACUAAUUAAAGUCAGUGAAAAUACAACAAAUAAUACCAGUGAGAAGGAGCCAGUUGCAUCCAAUAAGAGUGAGGAUGUAUCAAAGUAUCGUCCAAAUCCUGACAUGCUUGUUAGCAAAGUAGAACCAACAGCUCAUGAUGGUGAUGGUGUUUAUCAUGGUCCUAGAUUUGCCCCAACAUCUAUGGAUCUAGAUAAGCCUUCUAAGGGAGAAAGAAAUGCCAGCCGAAGAGACAGGGAACUUCUGAAACAAGCUCAGAACAGUGAUUAUAUCAAGACAUUAGUGAAUGAUAUGGAGGAAAGACCUGAAGAGAUAAAAGAUUUUGAGGGAACCAGCAGAGAAGUGGACAAUUAUAUUAGAAAAAUGGAGAAGCUUGCUAAGGUGGAGGAGGAUGAAUUCACGCGCAUUCCUCGUACGAAAGAAGAGAGGAAGAAAGAGAAGUACUUGAAGAAAGCGAAAAAUGGGAUGCAAGGUCUAACUGAUAGUUUAUUUGAUGAAAUCAAAGGAUUACCCUUUGAAGAUAAUACUGGAGAUCAUGCAAUGGGCUAUAAAAAUGGCAGCAGAAGAAAUGGGAAGCUGAAGAAGCGAAAGAGGAAACAUUGAAGAAACUGCUAUUUCGGAAUUACUGCUUGCUGUUGAAGGAAGUAAUACAAGGGAGUAUUAGAGCCACAGAGUUAGAUUUGGUUGGUUCUCUUCAAUUCCUAGAUGUGAGCCAAUUACCCUGAAUUCUGCCAGCCAGCUGCGCCAGCCAGCUUCCGUCUAACUUUAAACACCACCUUCGUGCCAUCUCCAGCUUCAAAUACCACUAUCGGGCCACCUCCAGAUAAAUGGAUUCCAAUAAUGAUUUAGCUCGUCAAAAUGAUGAAUUUGUCAAUACUAAGAGUUAUGAAAACGAAGUUAAACGUGGUACAACUAUUCUUCAAAAGAUCAUCAAAACAAGAAGUGGGAUGGAAUCAAAGUGGUCAGCCAAUUGAGCCCAACAAUCCAAUGAUGCUUCAAGAGACGAAGUUCGAUCAACCAUUAAGUCGUCGUAUUUUGUGCAAGGAGGCUCAUUUGAAUAAGGAUGUAAUAGUUGAUAAUGAAGUUGUUCUACAAGGAUAGAACAAUGUGGUGUCUCAUCUUGCGUGCUAUAUUUAUCAUCCCCUACUCAUUGCAUGGUUGGAAAAGGAACAUUGUACAAUACAUUGGGAGAAGUAUUACACCAUAAUCCGGUCCCUGUCAGCCAUGUUAAAGUUUCACAUGUGAUUGCUUUAGAACCAAUUGCACCAUUGUCUAUACCCGACAAUGAUACAAAUAUGAAAUUUUUGGGAGAAGCAAUAGGUAGUAACGUGGAAUGACCCAAAAAUCUUGUUGGCAUAAAUAUGGUAUGUUUAAUUGCUAUGUACGUUUAAUUGUAUUAUUAUGAUUGAUUAUGUUUAAUUGCUGAU